Felis catus (domestic cat) is the source of this 1932-nucleotide long non-coding RNA. RefSeq lists it as uncharacterized. The transcript is spliced from 2 exons. The record is from RefSeq and is a predicted model, not a curated record. NCBI's taxonomy places the organism in Eukaryota, Metazoa, Chordata, Mammalia, Carnivora, Felidae.
CGCGCUCUUUUUCUCUCUCUUAAAAAUAACGAAAAACAUCAAAAAAAUUUUUUUGACAAAGAAACUGAAUGGGACUGAAUGAGGAAAAGCAAGGGAAGCUCUGUUGGAGAUUCUUGCAGGGAUCCCCUCACGGGUGCGCACCCGGUUCUCUGCCCCGAGCAGAGAGCACAACAGCCUUCUCGGAGCUUAUUUUCUGGUUAGGGGGUCAGCGAUCGGCGCAUCAGGUGAUUUUAGGAAAUGGCAUUGCUAAGGAGAAAACACGCCAGUCGUGGGAUAGAAAGUGACCCAGGGGCAGCCUGACCUCUUGGAAAAGGUGCCCAUCGAGCUGAGGCCCGAGUGAGGACGAGAAGGCAAGCGUGGGAAGAUCCAAGGAGGGAGAAUGGCCCAUGCAAAGCCGUCGUCUCUGGGACAGGAACAAGCUUGCCGUUUGAGGAAGAGAAAAGCCAGCAGGGUUAGAGCAUAGUCAGUGAGGGGAAGAGGGAAGGAGAUAAGAUCUGAGAGGAGGCCGUGUGGUCUGCACUUGAAGCUACUGCACUGUGUUUGGCUGAAGAAUAGGUCACGGCAUGAUUCCACUUCCCAAGGAGCAGAGCCACAACAAAGCAGAAAUCACAGCGUCGUUGUGAUGAUAACUGCGAGGGCCAGGUGCUCACAGGCACGUGGCUGGGAUGGGGUCACUGGGACAGCUCCCUGGAACCUGCUACUGAGUUCUCACAUUCAACAGGAGACAUUCAUCCGGGGGUCCCUGCCUACGCCAGACAACCUCAGGAAGGCUUGUCCGCCGCUCCCCCAGGGAACUUGCACUCCCGGGGGAGCUGCACAGGACAGCCUGCCCUAUGAUGGUGCCGUUGGGGAUCAAAGGUACAGGAUGAUGUUUGGUGAACAACAAGGGGCCUUACAAACUGAAAUGAAGAAGAAUGACCCAACUAGGAGAUGGGCUGAAUAGUGGAGGAAGGAAGAGAAUCCCAAGCUCUGCAACCUGCAUUCAUGGUACUUCCCCCCCAUCUGUAUCUACUCAUGGAGGUCGCCAAAAUUCUUUCCUUGCAUUUGACUUUUCAACGUAUUGUUUCCCUCUUGGAUCUCAUUCAGAAAUUGUUAUAUUAUUGGGCUUACGUUCUAGAACGUGCAGAAACAGCAAAGGAACAGAGUCGCUUUAGAUCACACGACAGCCAGUUCCAUUUCUAAAAAACACGUUCUAAAACGCGAUCAACUCUCGCAAAGUCCCACCUGAAUUCACUGGGGAAAGAAGGCAAGAAAAUAGUCUUCAAACUACAGAAUGUAUUUUUAAGGAAACGCAGCUUUAUUACUUUCAAGUACAAACAAUAACUUGGACUUGACUAACCAAAUGUUGCCUAAUUGAGAGAACCUGCCUUAAUGUAUAGACAUCAAUGAUUUAUAGUUAGCACAAUCACUCACAGUAGAAUGCUUCCAUACGAUGCGUGAAAGUAACUUCUCAUCUUAUAAAGACAUCUUGUCCCACAUUCUCUCCACUAUCUGCUCACGCAGUCCCUUUCUCCUCCCACCCCACAGACACUUCAGAUGCAAACUUCACCUCCUUCCCCCUAGAUCACAAUAGACAUCAAAUUAGGGAAACAUGAGAAGAUACAUUUUGACCACGUUGCUACAGACGUCGGAUUGGUGACACCAGCCUUUUUCAACCUGAGCGCUCUCGUCGAGAGUACGAAGUCUAAAUUAGUCGAAAUGCGUCUGUUCACAAUGUGAGUAGAGGGACACAGGGUAAUUGUGAGCUUUUGUCAUCUGCGUUAAUAGUUUUCCAGGUUGUAAUAUGCAAAAACAUUUUUCUCUGAGCACAUUCAUGAAGCGCAGACGUAGCUGGGUUCUCUAGGCGGCGACGACAGCACGGGGUUACGACUCGUCGGGACCGUAAUACUAACUGGAAGCGACCGAAGUCCCCUGUCGUAGGAAGACCGGAGA